This 465-nucleotide ribosomal RNA is filed under the name Vreelandella stevensii. RNAcentral describes it as "partial 16S ribosomal RNA". It matches the Rfam family "Bacterial small subunit ribosomal RNA", at positions 338 to 795 of the family's 1533-position model. Lineage: Bacteria; Pseudomonadati; Pseudomonadota; Gammaproteobacteria; Oceanospirillales; Halomonadaceae. The record is from RNAcentral.
CCUACGGGUGGCUGCAGUGGGGAAUAUUGGACAAUGGGCGAAAGCCUGAUCCAGCCAUGCCGCGUGUGUGAAGAAGGCCUUCGGGUUGUAAAGCACUUUCAGUGGGGAAGAAAGCCUUGGGGCUAAUACCCUCGAGGAAGGACAUCACCCACAGAAGAAGCACCGGCUAACUCCGUGCCAGCAGCCGCGGUAAUACGUAGGGUGCGAGCGUUAAUCGGAAUUACUGGGCGUAAAGCGCGCGUAGGCGGUCUGAUAAGCCGGUUGUGAAAGCCCCGGGCUCAACCUGGGAACGGCAUCCGGAACUGUCAGGCUAGAGUGCAGGAGAGGAAGGUAGAAUUCCCGGUGUAGCGGUGAAAUGCGUAGAGAUCGGGAGGAAUACCAGUGGCGAAGGCGGCCUUCUGGACUGACACUGACGCUGAGGUGCGAAAGCGUGGGUAGCAAACAGGAUUAGAUACCCCAGUAGUC